This 434-nucleotide ribosomal RNA is filed under the name uncultured bacterium. RNAcentral describes it as "bacterial SSU rRNA". It matches the Rfam family "Bacterial small subunit ribosomal RNA", at positions 29 to 506 of the family's 1533-position model. The record is from RNAcentral.
AUGAACGCUGGCGGCGUGGAUAAGGCAUGCAAGUCAAGGGGGCCCGCAAGGGCAACCGGCAGACGAGGUAGUAAUAAUCAAGUACACACCGUGGAGUCGGGCAUAGCUAGCCGAAAGGUUAGGUAAUUCCCGAUAAUCUCGCAAGAGCAAAGUUUUUCGCUCCAUGAGUGGCUUGAUCGGUAUCAGCUAGUUGGUAAGGUAAUGGCUUACCAAGGCUAUGACGCCUAGGGGACCUGAGAGGGUGACCCCCACCGAUGGGACUGAGACACGGCCCAUACACCUACGGGUGGCUGCAGUCGAGAAUCUUCCGCAAUGGACGAAAGUCUGACGGAGCGACGCCGCGUGGAGGAUGAAGUGCUUCGGCAUGUAAACUCCUUUUGCCAGGGAAAAAGUUUAUUGAUUGUACCUGGAGAAUAAGAAGUUGCUAAACUCGU